AAAAAGAUAAGCUAAGAAAAGCUUUUAGGUUCAUACCCUAAAUAUAGGAAUUAUAAAUCCUUCUUUUUA
RNAcentral lists this transfer RNA (69 nucleotides) under Batracomorphus chlorophana. RNAcentral describes it as "tRNA-Met". Lineage: Eukaryota; Metazoa; Arthropoda; Insecta; Hemiptera; Cicadellidae. The record is from RNAcentral.